GAUGUGGCAUGUUCCUGGACUUUGGGAAUGUGAGCACAACUAGCGCAAACCGUGGGGACUGGCUAACCGAGGAGGUGGAACUCAAUGCUAAAGGAGGCAGAGAUGAUCGCAACUAUCUAUGGGUAUUGCUGAAAAUGCGGUCCGAAAACCCGUUUCUAUCCCUGGUCCUGCCCAGUAUACUAAUCAUCUUGGCUGAUGUAGGCAGCUUCGCCCUGCCGCUGGGAGAGAGUAAGCGCAUCCCCUUCAAGGUUAAACUGGUUCUCAGCUUCAUCAUGUUCCUCAACAUCCUCAAGGACCUUCUGCCUGGAGGAGGCCAGUGCAGCCCCAUCAUCCCUUAUGACUGCCCAUACCAUAACCCCACCUCCACCAUGGGACACUCUGUUCACAACGUUGCAAACCGCUCACCCACACAACGCCACACACGCUGUCUGCCAUCUGCCCGGUACAGCUGAAACCAGGAUUAAUCCAUGAAGAGCACACUUCUCCAGUGUGCCAGUGGCCAUCGAAGGUAUAGGAUUUUCCCUAUGAAGUCUGUUACGACGCCCGUCAGGUUAAGACCCUGGUAAAGACAACGAGCAGGCAGAUGCGCUUCCCUGAGACUGGUUCUGACAGCUUGUGCAGAAAGUCUUCGGUUGUGCAAACCCACAGGUUCAUCAGCUGUCCGGGUGGCUCGUCUCAGACCAUUAUAGGAUCAGCCGUCUUGCUUCAGGGG
This is a long non-coding RNA of Oncorhynchus tshawytscha (Chinook salmon), 712 nucleotides long. The record is from Ensembl. Lineage: Eukaryota; Metazoa; Chordata; Actinopteri; Salmoniformes; Salmonidae.